GAGUGACCGCUGGCGGUAGGCCUACCCCAUGCAAGUCGAACGGCAGCCCAGGAGAGCUUGCUCUCUGGGUGGCGAGUGGCGGACGGGUGAGGAAUACAUCGGAAUCUGCCCAGUCGUGGGGGAUAACGUAGGGAAACUUACGCUAAUACCGCAUACGACCUUCGGGUGAAAGAGGGGGAUCGCAAGACCUCUCGCGAUUGGAUGAGCCGAUGUCGGAUUAGCUAGUUGGCGGGGUAAUGGCCCACCAAGGCGACGAUCCGUAGCUGGUCUGAGAGGAUGAUCAGCCACACUGGAACUGAGACACGGUCCAGACUCCUACGGGAGGCAGCAGUGGGGAAUAUUGGACAAUGGGCGCAAGCCUGAUCCAGCCAUACCGCGUGGGUGAAGAAGGCCUUCGGGUUGUAAAGCCCUUUUGUUGGGAAAGAAAUCUUUCAGGCUAAUACCCUGGGAGGAUGACGGUACCCAAAGAAUAAGCACCGGCUAACUUCGUG
RNAcentral lists this ribosomal RNA (491 nucleotides) under uncultured bacterium. RNAcentral's name for it is "partial 16S ribosomal RNA". It matches the Rfam family "Bacterial small subunit ribosomal RNA", at positions 27 to 507 of the family's 1533-position model. The record is from RNAcentral.